This 304-nucleotide long non-coding RNA is filed under the name Gossypium raimondii (Peruvian cotton). RNAcentral's name for it is "long non-coding RNA (GRAI_LNC008230)". Lineage: Eukaryota; Viridiplantae; Streptophyta; Magnoliopsida; Malvales; Malvaceae. The record is from RNAcentral.
UCAGUAAGACCAGGCAUAAUUGGGCCUUGUAGUCUUUGCUCUAUUCCCGUUACACGACAAUGAGCAAAGAGGGGCAGCUGUAAUAAGGCCCAAUCGGCCUGGGUCCAAAUACAAAAGAAAACAGUUUAGGCCCAAUCAAUUGGCCCAAACCCAAUAGCCAAUACAACAAAACAAAAAACAAAAAGAACAAAACCCUAGCCGGUCUUCAAAUGCCCCACCAGCCACUACCUCCAGCGCCGCCAGCGAGACUCCGAUCGGCGCACGUCUCGGGGCCGAUCUCUCCUCCACGCACACGUUUCUCGCC